AUGCUUCGUAUGUACCCCACUUCAUCUCCAACGCCUUCUGCUUGGAUCGGUAAGCUUUGUUGUAGCUAAUCAGGUACUUGAACCUUUCCUCUAUGGCACAAACAAUCGAUUUAGGCUCGUAGCUAGGAUUCUUCACUAUUUGAGGAUAUAAGUAUUGAGCAACAAAAUCAGCUGUAAGACUAUGGUGUUGUCCUUCCAAUUCAUCCAACAAGCAUUGGUGCUUCACUACUAUAGCCACCUCCUAGUAAUUCUUCCACUUCCCCUUGUAUGUGUGUACCCUAAACGGGCAAUUGCUUCUGACAAAACACACAUCAUACACUAUCGGUUGCUCUUCACCUCCCUGAACUGCCAUUGUAAAGAUAAAGUGGACCAUCGCUUCACAACUUUCUUUACCUCAUCCCCACUCAAGUACAAAGCACCCAUACAAACCUCAUUCUCCUUGUACUCCCAAGGGACAUUUUCCCCUUCAUCGACUUGUAGGUUGUAAUGGUCAUAAGUUGACCUAUUCCGCGGGAUAGGAUUAGCAUCAUCCUCAUCUGACGAGUCAUCAUCCAUGGCACCAAGGUCCUCUUCUCCUUCCCUCUCUACUUGCUCAACUAACCCAAGGAUGUCUUCCCCCUCAUCAGCCUCGCCAUUUGGCUCAUAGGGUGCCUCUGCAUCCUCAGCAUCUUCUUCUUCUACCCCAUCUUCAUUAUUUUCUUUAGUUUUCCUAUUAAUAAUCUCCACACCUUCCUCGCCUCUAACUUUCCCACCUCUCACUUCUUCUUGCAAUUGACUGCUAGAUCUAAUCUUCCGGAACACUUCAACAAACAAUAUCAGCGGUAAACCCCGCUGAGUACAAGCAUUUACAUAGGCCUCCAGUUCUGGGUUCCUUCAAGCGGCAUCAACUUCCAAAAAAUUAUAUCAAGCCGAAACCUCACUAUAGCCGUAACAGAUAGCUCAACUUGAUAUCUAUCAAGAUUGAAACCCUUAAAUAGCCAGUUGCAUAUUGAAGCCCAAGUCCUCUCUCUUGCUCUUGGUAAUUAUUAGACUGAAAUUUAGACAAAUCUACCCCUUCUGGAACAUAUCUAACCUCCCCCCGACCAUAGAACACUUGGAAAAAUAAACUUUCCAACAUGCCUAUCAAUAUACACAACAUGAACAUAUAUUAUUACUAAAUGUUCUUAAUUUAACUUCCAACAACACCUACAUUUUAACAACUAUAGAAACAUCUAACUCAUGCAUUGCCAAUAAUAACACUUUUAGAAAAACUAAAUAUAUCAACAAAAUUCGGAAAAACUAAAUAUUACUAAAUUUAAUUAAUCCUAAUCAACAGAUAGCACUACAUCAACAGAGAGCAUUACUAAAUAUUACUAAAUUUAACUAACCCUAAUCACACCUACAUUUCAAAAAAAUAUAUAAAGAUAUGCACGACAUGAACACAAAUUAUAACUAAAUGUAAUAAUUUUAACUAACCCCCAAAACACGUACAUUAUGAAUAACUAUAUAAAAUACAACUCAUGCAUUGCCAAUAAUAUUCAUAAAUAACUAAGCUAAAUCGAUUAUACCAACAAACCUAUAUUUUUCUAUGUCUCAUAUGAACACCUAGAUUUCAUCUAAUACUAAACACUACACUAUCUAUAUAGCAUAUCAACUACUACAUCUACCAACUACGAGUUAAGCUAAAUUAGGAGAUUUCUAGUAAUACCUCAAGGGAAGCGAAGAUCCGGGCUUCAAUCUCAACCCUACUCCCCUCCUCUCCUCCCUCCCUUUCUUCCUCUUCUCUCCCAGUUUCUCUUGGCUCC
Molecule: long non-coding RNA, 1784 nt
Filed under: Setaria viridis
Lineage: Eukaryota; Viridiplantae; Streptophyta; Magnoliopsida; Poales; Poaceae
Description: long non-coding RNA (SVIR_LNC004351)
Source: RNAcentral